RNAcentral lists this ribosomal RNA (422 nucleotides) under uncultured archaeon. Its description in RNAcentral is "partial 16S ribosomal RNA". It matches the Rfam family "Archaeal small subunit ribosomal RNA", at positions 323 to 746 of the family's 1478-position model. The record is from RNAcentral.
CUACGGGAUGCUGCAGGGGUGAAUCUUUUACAAUGCACGAAAGUGUGAUAGAGCGAACCAAAGUGCUUAACUUUUUGUUAAGCUUUUGCCUGUUGUAAAUAUACAGGCGAAUAAGGACUGGGCAAGACCGGUGCCAGCCGCCGCGGUAAUACCGGCAGUUCAAGUUGCAACCAACAUUAUUGGGUCUAAAACAUCCGUAGCUUGUUUAACAAGUCUCUUGUGAAAUCUGAUAUCUCAAAUAUCAGGCGUGCAAGAGAUACUGUUAAGCUAGAGAUCGGUAGGUGUAAGAAGUACGCGAGGGUAGUGGUUAAAUACGUUAAUCUUUCGUGGACUCACAAUUAGCGAAGGCAUCUUACAAGAACGAAUCUGACAGUGAGGGAUGAAGGCCAGGGGCGCAAAACGGAUUAGAUACCCUAGUAGUC